CAAAGGCUUCUGUUUGCCCAGGAAGCAGGGACCUGGUCAUCAUCUGGAGGGUAAGUGGGGAAAACUCAGCAGAGACCCAGGGAGAUGGCCCUGUGCUGGUUUUCUCUGAUUCAGGUAAAACCAGUCGGGCUGGCUGGGUGGUUUCCUCCUGCUGGUCCAGCUGGCUGGGAGAAUACAGAUGGCUGGACCUUGGCCAGGUGAGUAUUUUGGAGGCUGAGAGUCAUGAGGAGGCUGAGAAUGCUUGAAGAAAGUGAUUCAAAAGAUGACUCAGGGAAGUGAGGCUGAGCAUUGCCCAGGGGGUGAGGACAACCGGAAAUGGCAAAUGAGAGGAGGAGCCAAAGGUCAGGGUGGACCCUUCCCUCCUGGAGAACAUCUUUUGCCUUGGCUUUGUUGGGGCUUCCCUUUUAUUGGUUUUCCUUCCGCUUCCCUGUUUCUUCCUCUUCAGUAUUAUCACUGGUGGAUUCCCCAGUGCCUGCACUUCUCAUAGUACAGAUCUGCGCCUCCUCACCUAUUUUCUACCUUGUUUUCCUAACAGGAUCAUCAGUUUGAGGAUCAUGGCUAACUGUCUUCCUUAAGGGAAAUUUCCUGUUCCUAGAAUGGUGUGUAUGCAAGCACGUGUGUAGGGGCAGCGUGCAGAGAGGACCACAGGGGUGGUUUGGCCACUGCUGUCCCUGGAGAGCAGGAUGGAGAUUCCACUUCUGACAGCCUCCUGAUCUGCUGGGAUUAUAGGCGUGUGCCCCUGUGCCUGGCCAGAGAGAAGUCGUCGUGCUACGUGGAGUUCUCUUCCAGCCGAGCCGGACCCACCACACACGGAGGGGAGCUGGCACUGAGCAAGGUGGCUCCAGCUUAGCUGGGCUGUGACACUGAAGCCAAGGCCGACCUGCAGGACCCUCGUGUAAGUGCCAGUCACACGGCUCCCUCCUCUGUGGUGAGCCCUGGCGGAAUCCAACCACCUUCAUGCACCGCCCUCGUCAGGGCCCCGAGGGCCUUGCACAGCUCUGGAGUCAGCAGAGAUUAGUCAAUACUCGGCUGAAUCAUCUAGUCAUUAAAUGGCUGAACAUCGAACUGCAAAACCAAAUUUCUUUUUUCUUUUUCUUUUCUUUUGUCAAAAUGGGGUCUCACUUUGUUGCCCCAGCUGAUCUCAAACUCCUGAGUCCAAGUGAUCCUCCUGCCUUGGCCUCCCAGCAGCCAGGAGUGCAGCUCCUACAAUCACCCACAUCCCUCUGGACACAAACCCUGGGGAGAGGAAAGCACUGGUCUGGGAGUCAGGACAGCUGCUCCCAACUUGCUGUGUGACUUGAGGUGAGACCAUUCCCCUCUCUGAGCCUCCAUUUCCAGAUGUGCAGAUGAAGUAGCUGGGCCACCUGCCGUCCCUGCUCCUUUCCAGGUCUAACAUCCUGUUUCCACCUUCCUAAAUGGAAGUGAUCAAUUUGGCCAGAUUGGGAAGGCAAAGUGAGAUCCAGCAUCUCAGCCCUGUUUCGGGGUGCUGACAGGAAUUGUGGGUUCGA
Long non-coding RNA from Marmota monax (woodchuck), 1508 nucleotides. RefSeq lists it as uncharacterized. NCBI's taxonomy places the organism in Eukaryota, Metazoa, Chordata, Mammalia, Rodentia, Sciuridae. The transcript is spliced from 3 exons. The record is from RefSeq and is a predicted model, not a curated record.